Molecule: ribosomal RNA, 306 nt
Filed under: uncultured bacterium
Lineage: Bacteria
Description: partial 16S ribosomal RNA
Rfam family: Bacterial small subunit ribosomal RNA
Source: RNAcentral
GACAGCAGUAGCCGCGGGAAUACGAAGGGUGCAAGCGUUACUCGGAAUUACUGGGCGUAAAGCGUGCGUAGGUGGUGGUUUAAGUCCGUUGUGAAAGCCCUGGGCUCAACCUGGGAAUUGCAGUGGAUACUGGGUCACUAGAGUGUGGUAGAGGAUAGUGGAAUUUCCGGUGUAGCAGUGAAAUGCGUAGAGAUCGGAAGGAACAUCUGUGGCGAAGGCGACUAUCUGGGCCAACACUGACACUGAGGCACGAAAGCGUGGGGAGCAAACAGGAUUAGAUACCCGAGUAGUCCCUGUCUCUUAUAC